GACGAACGCUGGCGGCGUGCUUAACACAUGCAAGUCGAGCGGUAAGGCCCUUUCGGGGGUACACGAGCGGCGAACGGGUGAGUAACACGUGGGUGACCUGCCCUCAGCUCUGGGAUAAGCCCGGGAAACUGGGUCUAAUACUGGAUAUGACUCCAUGACGCAUGUUGUGGGGUGGAAAGCCUUGUGCGGCUGAGGAUGGGCCCGCGGCCUAUCAGCUUGUGGUGGGGNGAUGGCCUACCAAGGCGACGACGGGUAGCCGGCCUGAGAGGGGCGACCGGCCACACUGGGGACUGAGACACGGCCCAGACUCCUACGGGAGGCAGCAGUGGGGAAUCUUGCGCAAUGGGCGAAAGCCUGACGCAGCGACGCCGCGUGAGGGAUGAC
This 384-nucleotide ribosomal RNA is filed under the name uncultured bacterium. Its description in RNAcentral is "bacterial SSU rRNA". It matches the Rfam family "Bacterial small subunit ribosomal RNA", at positions 28 to 412 of the family's 1533-position model. The record is from RNAcentral.